AGAGUUUGAUCCUGGCUCAGGAUGAACGCUAGCGGCAGGCCUAACACAUGCAAGUCGAGGGGUAACAGGGAAAAGCUUGCUUUUCCGCUGACGACCGGCGCACGGGUGCGUAACGCGUAUGCAACCUACCUUUUACAGGAGUAUAGCCCAGAGAAAUUUGGAUUAAUCCUCCAUAACAUCUUUUUCUUGCAUAGGAAAAAGAUUAAAGCUUCGGUGGUAAAAGAUGGGCAUGCGUUUUAUUAGCUAGUAGGUGAGGUAACGGCUCACCUAGGCCACGAUAAAUAGGGGCCCUGAGAGGGGGAUCCCCCACACUGGUACUGAGACACGGACCAGACUCCUACGGGAGGCAGCAGUGAGGAAUAUUGGACAAUGGACGAAAGUCUGAUCCAGCCAUGCCGCGUGCAGGAUGACGGCCCUAUGGGUUGUAAACUGCUUUUAUACAGGAAGAAACACUCCCACGUGUGGGGGCUUGACGGUACUGUACGAAUAAGGAUCGGCUAACUCCGUGCCAGCAGCCGCGGUAAUACGGAGGAUCCAAGCGUUAUCCGGAAUUAUUGGGUUUAAAGGGUCCGCAGGCGGUCUAUUAAGUCAGAGGUGAAAUCUUGCAGCUCAACUGUAAAAUUGCCUUUGAUACUGGUAGACUUGAGUCAUUGUGAAGUGGUUAGAAUGUGUGGUGUAGCGGUGAAAUGCAUAGAUAUCACACAGAAUACCAAUUGCGAAGGCAGAUCACUAACAAUGUACUGACGCUCAUGGACGAAAGCGUGGGGAGCGAACAGGAUUAGAUACCCUGGUAGUCCACGCCGUAAACGAUGGAUACUAACUGUUCGACCUUCGGGUUGAGUGGUUAAGCGAAAGUGAUAAGUAUCCCACCUGGGGAGUACGCUCGCAAGAGUGAAACUCAAGGAAUUGACGG
Molecule: ribosomal RNA, 913 nt
Filed under: uncultured marine bacterium
Lineage: Bacteria
Description: bacterial SSU rRNA
Rfam family: Bacterial small subunit ribosomal RNA
Source: RNAcentral